Engraulis encrasicolus (European anchovy) is the source of this 379-nucleotide long non-coding RNA. RefSeq lists it as uncharacterized. Lineage: Eukaryota; Metazoa; Chordata; Actinopteri; Clupeiformes; Engraulidae. The record is from RefSeq and is a predicted model, not a curated record. The transcript has 5 exons.
CUUUUCAAACCAAAAUAUCUCACGAGCUCUUGAGGAAGGCCUGGAAUAACCUUGGAGGUGGCAGAGAUGACUGGAGAGCUCAGAGUGUCGGGUAAAACAAACAUCAUCUCCAGCCUCUAUGCAUCGAAAGAUAAGGGAGGAAAAGGCCAUCUUGCUCUCAGCUGUGGAAAAGUGUAACAACAAGAAGAAUGAUUGACAGCAUCCUGAAACAUGGGUGGUGUGCUACGUAUCCAUGUUUUCUGGAAACACUGUACAUGUGGUAGAAGAUGGCUGUCGUCGUGGGUGCUGAACAAAAAUAAAAUCCACUAUGCUUUGUUUUUAGUUUGCCGCUUCAUGGUUAACUAUUUUACUCUUUAAAAAAAUAAAGCAACACAGACAC